Molecule: unclassified non-coding RNA, 328 nt
Filed under: soil metagenome
Description: partial contains 5.8S ribosomal RNA, internal transcribed spacer 2, and large subunit ribosomal RNA
Rfam family: 5.8S ribosomal RNA (bases 1-119)
Source: RNAcentral
GAUGAAAACGUAGCGAAAUGCGAUAAGUAAUGUGAAUUGCAGAAUUCAGUGAAUCAUCGAAUCUUUGAACGCACAUUGCGCCCUCUGGUAUUCCGGGGGGCAUGCCUGUUCGAGCGUCAUUAUAACCACUCAAGCUCUCGCUUGGUAUUGGGGUUCGCGGUUUCGCGGCCCCUAAAAUCAGUGGCGGUGCCUGUCGGCUCUACGCGUAGUAAUACUUCUCGCGAUUGAGUUCGAUAGGUCUACUUGCCAGUAACCCCCAAUUUUUACAGGUUGACCUCGGAUCAGGUAGGGAUACCCGCUGAACUUAAGCAUAUCAAUAAGCGGAGGA